UUACCCCUACGGACGCAGCAGUGGGGAAUAUUGCACAAUGGGGGGAACCCUGAUGCAGCGACGCCGCGUGAGUGAAGAAGUAUUUCGGUAUGUAAAGCUCUGUCAGCAGGGAAGAAGAAAGACGGUACCUGACCAAGAAGCCCCGGCUAACUACGUGCCAGCAGCCGCGGUAAUACGUAGGGGGCAAGCGUUAUCCGGAUUUACUGGGUGUAAAGGGAGCGUAGACGGCAGGGCAAGUCUGGAGUGAAAGGCAGGGGCCCAACCCCUGGACUGCUCUGGAAACUGUCCGGCUGGAGUGCAGGAGG
Molecule: ribosomal RNA, 305 nt
Filed under: uncultured bacterium
Lineage: Bacteria
Description: bacterial SSU rRNA
Rfam family: Bacterial small subunit ribosomal RNA
Source: RNAcentral